CUACGGGACGCUCCAGUGAGGAAUAUUGCACCAUUUGGUGCACCCUGCUGCAGCAACGCCUCGUGGAGGAUGACGCAUUUCGGUGUGUAAACUCCUUUUAUAUGUCAAGAAAAUGACGGUAGCAUAUGAAUAAGCACCGGCUAACUCCGUGCCAGCAGCCGCGGUAAUACGGAGGGUGCAAGCGUUACUCGGAAUCACUGGGCGUAAAGGACGCGUAGGCGGGUUGGAAAGUCAGGUGUGAAAUCCUACAGCUUAACUGUAGAACUGCACUUGAAACUUCUAAUCUAGAGUAUGGGAGGGGGAGAUGGAAUUAGUGGUGUAGGGGUAAAAUCCGUAGAUAUCACUAGGAAUACCUAAAGCGAAGGCGAUCUCCUGGAACAUUACUGACGCUAAGGCGUGAAAGCGUGGGGAGCAAACAGGAUUAGAUACCCCCGUAGUC
Molecule: ribosomal RNA, 439 nt
Filed under: uncultured bacterium
Lineage: Bacteria
Description: partial 16S ribosomal RNA
Rfam family: Bacterial small subunit ribosomal RNA
Source: RNAcentral